UGGGGAAUUAUCCGAAAGUUAGAGCAGUUUUGGGAUAUAUGAUGAUGAACGUUUGUUCAGAUUUAUAUGUACCCGGAGUACGUUUGGUGAGAAUAAAUGGUCGCUGGUGCUAUCACGUCGAUCGCCUUUUGCCUGUUGUUAAACUGUCGGAGUUGAUCUUUACGUUGAUGUUCAGUGAUACUAUUAUUGGUGGAGAUGAACAGUUGUGUAAAUAAAGAGUAGAAGGUACAUACUGUAAAGCCGAUUCUACAUUGAGUCUCUAGUCUGUAGUCGGUAAUCGGAAGCAGUUUUGUAUAGCAAGUCGUUUAACUCGACCAAUAGGAAAGCCGAUAGAAGAAAGUUGAAUGUUUAGACUGUUAAACUGUUUUAAACCUGUGUAAUCGUAAGUAAUUAGAACAGCGAAAAAUCGUGGAAAGAACGUGAAAUAUUAUAUUCGUACAGUUAUUGUUCACACAUUAAUGUGAACAGGAGAAAAUAAAUAUUGAUCAAGAUGACGACGUGAUUGUAACUAUCAUUUUGAUGCAAAUGAUGACAUUAUUGUUCCCUGUAUGUCACAUCUUGAAUAAAUACAAUGGUUGCAGAUGGUGGCAUAGGCCUGUUAAUAGGCUGUUCACUAAACAAGGAGAAUUUAUAAACUUGUUUCAUGAAUUAAAAGAAAUGGAUCACAAGGAGUUUUACAAUUACACCAGAAUGACUCCUGCAUAGUUGCUAGAAAAAGUUUACCCUCUUCUAGAGAAGAAGAGCAUGCAACAACCUUUUCCAAUUGAACUUCGCCUUGCCAUCACUUUGGAGGCAGCAUCGCCUGUAAUUUGGAGACCCAUGAGAUGAUUGUAUUAGCGUUGGUGAUGCUUUAUAACUUCCUCCUGUCCUCUGAGGAAGAGUUGUCAAUGCACCAGCACCAAUAUAACGUUAUUGAUGGAUCAGAAAGGACCACAUGGCAUGCUACUUCAGAACGGUAUAUGGCGUGGAGAAGUACCUGUUAUAAAUAUGUUCCACUGUGUUGGUAGAAUGGGUAGUAACAAUGCUCUUGCCGAUGCCAUCAAACUUCGAAAUAAUUUAAGAGUUUACUUCAUCAGUGAGGCCGAAGAAAUUGAAUGGCAAUACAAAGUGUUGCUACUCUAAUCUAAACAAUCCUAUUA
Cyphomyrmex costatus is the source of this 1139-nucleotide long non-coding RNA. RefSeq lists it as uncharacterized. The record is from RefSeq and is a predicted model, not a curated record. Lineage: Eukaryota; Metazoa; Arthropoda; Insecta; Hymenoptera; Formicidae. The transcript is spliced from 3 exons.